Molecule: ribosomal RNA, 464 nt
Filed under: Vreelandella stevensii
Lineage: Bacteria; Pseudomonadati; Pseudomonadota; Gammaproteobacteria; Oceanospirillales; Halomonadaceae
Description: partial 16S ribosomal RNA
Rfam family: Bacterial small subunit ribosomal RNA
Source: RNAcentral
CUACGGGCGGCAGCAGUGGGGAAUAUUGGACAAUGGGCGAAAGCCUGAUCCAGCCAUGCCGCGUGUGUGAAGAAGGCCUUCGGGUUGUAAAGCACUUUCAGUGGGGAAGAAAGCCUUGGGGCUAAUACCCUCGAGGAAGGACAUCACCCACAGAAGAAGCACCGGCUAACUCCGUGCCAGCAGCCGCGGUAAUACGGAGGGUGCGAGCGUUAAUCGGAAUUACUGGGCGUAAAGCGCGCGUAGGCGGUCUGAUAAGCCGGUUGUGAAAGCCCCGGGCUCAACCUGGGAACGGCAUCCGGAACUGUCAGGCUAGAGUGCAGGAGAGGAAGGUAGAAUCCCCGGUGUAGCGGUGAAAUGCGUAGAGAUCGGGAGGAAUACCAGUGGCGAAGGCGGCCUUCUGGACUGACACUGACGCUGAGGUGCGAAAGCGUGGGUAGCAAACAGGAUUAGAUACCCCUGUAGUC